Molecule: ribosomal RNA, 253 nt
Filed under: uncultured bacterium
Lineage: Bacteria
Description: partial 16S ribosomal RNA
Rfam family: Bacterial small subunit ribosomal RNA
Source: RNAcentral
CACGUAGGGCGCAAGCGUUGUCCGGAAUUAUUGGGCGUAAAGAGCUUGUAGGCGGUUUGUCGCGUCUGCUGUGAAAUCUCAAGGCUCAACCUUGAGCUUGGAGUGGGUACGGGCAGACUAGAGUGUGGUAGGGGAGACUGGAAUUCCUGGUGUAGCGGUGAAAUGCGCAGAUAUCAGGAGGAACACCGAUGGCGAAGGCAGGUCUCUGGGCCACUACUGACGCUGAGAAGCGAAAGCAUGGGGAGCGAACAGG